ACGUAGCAAUACGUUUGUAAAGCGGCGAACGGGUGAGGAAUACAUGGGUAACCUACCCUCGAGUGGGGAAUAACUAGCCGAAAGGUUAGCUAAUACCGCGUACGCUUCUUGGACUUCGGUUCAGGGAGGAAAGCGAUACCGUGGGUAUCGCGCUCUUGGAUGGGCUCAUGUCCUAUCAGCUUGUUGGUGAGGUAACGGCUCACCAAGGCUUCGACGGGUAGCUGGUCUGAGAGGACGAUCAGCCACACUGGCACUGCGACACGGGCCAGACUCCUACGGGAGGCAGCAGUAAGGAAUAUUGCGCAAUGGGCGAAAGCCUGACGCAGCGACGCCGCGUGGGGGAUGAAGGUCUUCGGAUUGUAAACCCCUUUCGGGAGGGAAGAUGGAAUGGGGUAACCCAUUCGGACGGUACCUCCAGAAGCAGCCACGGCUAACUUCGUGCCAGCAGCCGCGGUAAUACGAAGGUGGCAAGCGUUGUUCGGAUUUACUGGGCGUACAGGGAGCGUAGGCGGUUCGGUAAGCCCUCUGUGAAAUCUCCAGGCUUAACCUGGAACAGUCGGAGGGGACUGCCGGGCUAGAGGACGGGAGAGGAGCGCGGAAUUCCCGGUGUAGCGGUGAAAUGCGUAGAGAUCGGGAGGAAGGCCGGUGGCGAAGGCGGCGCUCUGGAACGUUUCUGACGCUGAGGCUCGAAAGCGUGGGGAGCAAACAGGAUUAGAUACCCUGGUAGUCCACGCCUUAAACUAUGGAUACUAAGUGUCGGCGGGUUACCGCCGGUGCCGCAGCUAACGCAUUAAGUAUU
Molecule: ribosomal RNA, 799 nt
Filed under: uncultured Nitrospira sp.
Lineage: Bacteria; Pseudomonadati; Nitrospirota; Nitrospiria; Nitrospirales; Nitrospiraceae
Description: bacterial SSU rRNA
Rfam family: Bacterial small subunit ribosomal RNA
Source: RNAcentral